UUUAUUAUCAGCUUGCAGAAAUUUAAUAGGAGAAAGGAAAGUGAGAUUUAAUAAAAGAAUUUAUUUACAGAUGAGCGAAGUUUUCAUUUAAGUAAUACGAGUUGAUCAAUUCUCUCCACUGUUAUUAUUCAUUAUAUUGAUUGAAGUAGCAAUAGUAUAGUGAUAGUAACAGCAGUGGUAAUAGUCUAAGUAGUAAGAGUUAAAGAAGAGAAUUUAUUAUCAGCUUGUAGAAAUUCAAUAGGAGAAAGGAAAGUGAGAUUUAAUAAAAGAAUUUAUUUACAGAUGAGCGAAUAUUUCAUUUAUGUAAUACGAGUUGAUCAAUUCUCUCCACUAUUAUUAUUCAUUAUAUUGACUGAAGUAGCAAUAGUAUAGUGAUAGUAACAGCAAUGGUAAUGAUCUAAGUAGUAAGAGUUAAGGAAGAGAAUUUAUUAUCAGCUUGCAGAAAUUUAAUAGGAGAAAGGAAAUAAGAUGAGAUUUAAUAAAAGAAUUUAUUUACAAAUAAGCGAAUUUAAUCGGCAAGAGUUGUGUGAAUGAAAAAUGAAGUAUUAAACGUGUUUAAUAAAUGGAGUUACGGAUAAAUAGAGAAAUAUAGUUUUCUUCUAUCUACCAACGUAUAGAGAAGUCAUAUUUCAAGCCUUAGAAACAAAUGUGCCCCAGUGUCUGACGCGUCCCGGAUAAUGUCGAAAGCCUGGAAACGUUUGGAGUUUGACGAAGUUGCGGGACAAUUUGCGGAACUUCGGAUCGAUUCAUGCCCGUUUCGAAAUUAAAUCGCAAGCGUGGCUUAAAAGAGAGCAGAGUGGUGCAACGAUGAUCAGCGAUGAUGGAUUUCUUCUAACGAGAACAAAGCACGGAAAACUUUUAACUGUUUGCAGGAGUAAAACAAUCUUCGUUUGAAAUUUUUCCCAAUAUUUUUGUACCAAUAUUAGAGGAAGAUAUAACAGAUUUCAACUUUAUAUCGAAACACGUUUCAUUUCCAUUAUAAUUACUAUUACUAAAGAAAAGAUAUUGAAACUUGCUAAAAAUAAAUUGGGAACAAAA
Long non-coding RNA from Bombus impatiens (common eastern bumble bee), 1038 nucleotides. RefSeq lists it as uncharacterized. NCBI's taxonomy places the organism in Eukaryota, Metazoa, Arthropoda, Insecta, Hymenoptera, Apidae. The transcript is spliced from 4 exons. The record is from RefSeq and is a predicted model, not a curated record.